AGCCAGCUGGGGACCCAGUCAAGAAAAGAUGACCACCUCUCAACCAAAAAGAGAAGGAACCCGCCCUGAUGGAACCUUGAUGUUGGACUUCUAGCCUCCAGACCUGGCAUGAAUCCCAUGACCUCAUCACCUCCCAAAGGCCUUCACUGCCAAAUACCGUAAUAUUGGGAGUUACGUUUCAACAUCUGAAUUUGGAAAGACACAAGUGAUCAGUCCACAACAGACCCACAUACUCUGAAUGGAAGCAGCAGGGAGAGAAAUGUCAGAGACCCAGGAGAAUUGGAAUUUUUAAUGCCUUAAAUGGAAACAUGUCCAAGCUCAAAAAUGCUACAAAAAAGAAGAGUCAAGAGAAAGAACAGGGAUUAAAAACUCCAAUUCUCCUGGUCAAUUUAAGGCAGAGAUGGGGAAUCUAUUCUUUGUACCUGCUUCUGGGAAACAGUGAAUGGUUCACACAAGAGGAAAAGAGAAGAUAUGAGCCUUCUUUAUACCUGGUUUCAGAUGGUCUGUUUCUUCAUUAGCUGGUGAGCUCCUGGGCAGGUUAUAAAAAGACUGUGACAUCCUUCUUGAAGACUUUCUCAUGAAUUCUCUCACUCUCACUUGAGCCCUGGGGGAAGCUGGCUGCCAUGUUGUGAGGCAGCCCAUGGAGAGGUCCAUGUGGGGAGAGACCAAGGCCUGCCAAAGAUGACAAGAGUGAGCCUGGAAACAGACCCCCCCACACACACACCAGCCAUCAGAUGAGACUGCAGCCCCACCAGGCAGUCUGAUAGCAAUGUGUAAGAGACUUGAAUCAGAGAUCUCCAGCAAAGCCAGAGCAAGAUUCCUGACCCAGUCAAACAGGAAGAUAAUAAAUAUUUGUUGUUUCAAAAUGCUCAAUACUUGUUGGGGUGCCUGAGUGGCUCAGUCGAU
Long non-coding RNA from Canis lupus familiaris (dog), 906 nucleotides. RefSeq lists it as uncharacterized. The transcript has 5 exons. The record is from RefSeq and is a predicted model, not a curated record. Lineage: Eukaryota; Metazoa; Chordata; Mammalia; Carnivora; Canidae.